AGCGCAGGAGCUCUCAGACUACCUCAGAUGCCAAGAGCCUGGUUUGAAUACAAGCCUUGCCAUUGUGUGACUUUGGGCCAGUGUUUCCAGCCAUCAUGUCAGAGCUGAGUGGAGUGGCACUGGGUGCCAAGGCAAACACCCAGCCCAGCUGUGCUGGGAAGAACUGAGCUCCAAUGUGUCUUGUGACCCAGCUCCUCCCACCCACCUGGCUGUGUCUCCUAUCCUGCAGAGAUUUCUGGGGGCUGUUUCCAGUAAACAGAGUGCCAGCACCCACUAACCUGUAAAUAGCACCUUGUUCAGGGGGAGUGAUAUUCUUUGACUGUAUGAUUUGGGGCCUUGCUGCUCAAAAUGUGGUCAGCAGCAUUGACAUCACCUGGGAUCUCAUUACAAAUGCAGAAUCUCAGACCUCACUCCAGAUGUGCUGGAUGAGAAUGGCCAUUUUCACAAGCUCCCCAGGAUAUGUGUGCCUGUUAAAGUUUGAGAAGCACUGAUCGGAGGACUUCGGUUAUAAUCCCACCUCCUUCUAUAAGUGAUUAAAGAAAAUUCACUUAUACUCUCCUUUGAACAGCUGUAUGCUUCUCAAUUUCUCUCUCUCUCUCUCUCUCUCACACACACACACACACACACACACUUUAUUUUUCAAUCUCUAUAGACUUGCUUCUUUGUAAGGCUCUCAAUUUCUCCUCCCCAGUGACACAAGCUUGCAUGUGGAUAUAGCUCGUCAUGGUGCCUAUUUAUCUUCAACUUUAUGCAACCUUAGCACUCUUUUACUCAGAAACCUUUUGACUGGGAGAGCAGGGCAAACUCAAAUCCCUACAGAGACCAGGAAGGCAGCAUGGAUGAGUGCAGAAAGCUACAUUUGUUUCAGAAAGGAAUCAGUGUAUAUUCUUUCAGCAGACACAUUUAGUUUGUUUCUUAUAAGCCACUAGAAGAGUCAUUACUUUCACAAAGUCAUAUGCUUAUUCCCAUUUUUCAUAAAAUAUGGCCUAUCUUCAGUUUUCCCAGUUUUGAUACAGAAAAAAAUAUAAGAAAGAUUUUCUAUUUCCUAUAACUAUAAAAGCCCACUAAUAGCACCAGCACAGCCACCCCUGGGCUUCACACAGGGAGUGGCAGGAGCUGUGCAGAUGGAGAGUGCAUACUGGUGUGAAGGGGGCAAUGGAUCUCAGCUCCAGCCAUUGUCUUCAUGCAGGAAUUUGGGACCAUUUUACCGGAUCCUCCCAUUUCUUCAAGAGAAGCCGGAAAUCUGGAUUUCUAUGUGAAAUCUCCCACUUUUUUAUGCUGGCAACUAAUUUUCUUUAAACACUGUGCCAAACAAAACAUACCUGCAGGCCAAAAUCUACACCCUCUGGGCUGGAUUUCAAUGUCUCUUAAACUCUCAACAGAGAGCAUCUUACUGUUUCAGUUCAGGGUAGAUGUCUACCCAUGGUCCCAUCGAGUGGGGUCUGGAUAUGGAAUCAGCUAGAAGAAGCAUAGUCUAUGCCCAUUCUUUCAGCAGGGACUGUGGGCAGGAAACCAUUUCCAAAGAAGCAGGCAUGAGUUGGUGGCCAUACAAAUAUAUAUGUUAUAUUGAUAAAUAUAAAAACAGGAGAUUCUGGGGGACCACAAGUUUUUACAAAUUAGGCUUAUUUUAGGAUAAAUUCACCCUUGUUAGUGUGCAGUUCUGUGAGUUUUGAUAUACAUAUGCAGUCAAGUAACCACUCCCACAAUUAAGAUACAGAAUAAUUCCAUCACCCCCCAAAUUUCUUGUAUGCCCCUUUAUAGCUAGCCCCUGACCCUAACCUCUGGCAAUCACUAAUAUAUUCUCUUUUUCUAUAGGCUUGCUUUUUUUCAAAAUGUCAUAUACAUGGAAUCACACAGUUUAUAGCCUUUUGAGUCUGGCUUAUUUUACUCAGCAUAAUGCCUUUGAGCUUUAACCAUGUAAUUUCAUGUAUCAGUAGUUCAUUCCUAUGUAUUGCUAAGUAAUUUUCCACUGUAUAGAUGCACCACAGUUUGUUUAUCCAUUCACCAAUUAAAGCCAUAAUCAACUUCCAUGUAGAAGUUUGUGUGUGAACACAGUUUUAAUUUAUUUGGGGUUACUACCUAGGAGUGAGAUUCUGGGUCUUAUGGUAAGCAUACAUUUUACUAAGAAACUAUAAAACUCUUUUCCAAAGUGGCUGAACCAUUUGACAUUUCUAACAGCAAUAUUUGAAAGUUCCCAUUGCUCUGUAUCCUCUCCAGUACUUACAUGCUCAGCAUUUUGGUUUGGUCUGGUUUCAUUGUUUCUGAGCUCUUCUGAUAGAUGUGGAGUACACCCCCAUUUUGGAUGAAUUGUGCCAAAUGUGUAGACCAUCCUCAAAAUCUAAGGUCUCAGUAAAAACAAUUAAACAUGAUUUCUGAUAUAAUGUCUUAUCCUUGAAAACCCUGACCCAUCCAUCUUCAGCACAUUCACAUGUGUAAUAAGGUAAGUGAUUUUUAAUUCCACCAGGUUUAAAGACCCCUGACGUGACUUAUUGCCAUUCUGCUACUGAGCCUUGAGAGAUUAUGGUAAGUGCCAAGAAAAAAAAAAUGACUUUGAACUGCUCUUUCACCAGUUAAAAAUAACACUGAAACCAAAUGUAAACAUAAAAGAAGUGGUCAGAUUCGGGUUACAUAUUAACGGUGUUUGGUCAGGCUGGAGCUGAGGCACAGCAGCAGAGAAUGCCUUUUACUUAUCACUGUUUCCAAACCUCCCUACCUGGACUAGGCUUGACUGGAUUUACAAGAGACCUUUUGAAAAGAUGCAGAGAAGGCAAGCAGCACACAUUUCCUGGUAAUAAAUUUUAAAGGUUGCUAAAACAUUCCAGAGAUUUUCACUCAACAUUCCUCUGGCCAACACAUCUGCAAUCUGCCAAUCCUUAAAAAUAGGUGUUUUUGCAUUUUAAUCUCACAAACAUCUUUGAAAAUGCAUUUCUUCUCUGCCCCUGUGUUGGACAAAUCCAGCUUUUUCCAUUUUCUAAAAACCACAGAAAUAUAAUGCUGCUUAAUUCAUACAAGACUGAGCUAACUGGAGUUAAAAUAAAAUUUCUGAGAGUUUGUUUGGCUCACUCUUCCCUACCAGAUGAUUCCAUUCUUAAAACGGUCCUGUGAUUAUAUUCUCUCAUUACAGAGGUGUCCAGAAAAAAAAUAAGGAGUGCAGUUCUGAAAUUAUAUAAAAGCAAAAUUAUUACUCUAAACGUAAGAGCUGUGAUAGAUCGUGUCAUUGACCAUGGUUCUUUUCCCCUGACACACACGUCCCCACCACCCACCCACUGUAUCCAUAUGCCUUUUGCCAUAUGACUUUGCAGCUCUCCCCACUAAAGGGGCAGCCAUGCGAUUUGCUUUGGCCAAUGAAAUGAGGCAGUAGUGGUGGUAUCCUAGUUCUGAGCCUAGGUCUCAAGAAGUCUUAUGUGUUUCUGCUUAUCCUCUUAUACCUCUGCCAUCACCAUGAGCCAAACAUCCCCCAAGUAGCCCACUGGUCCCAGGACAAGGAGGGAGACAUGAAGCAGAGCUCAUCCAGCUGCUGCAGCCCCACUUGACCCAGAGACCUACACUGGGAAGCAGAGCUGCCCAGUCAAGUCCAACCUGGAUGUGUGGAACCCCAGCCAACCUGAUGCAUGAGCAUGACUCUGGACAGUGAACAUUGGUGGAAAUUGGUUAUCCCCAAUUUCCAGCUCACGGCAUUGGAAGACAUCAUAAACAUUAAUGGAGAGCGGGAUGCCAGAAUAAGUUGAUCCAAAUGAUGCAGGAAUAUUUAGCAGCAAGGAGAAAGGAAUUCACAUUUCUCAGUACCCACUAUGUGCCAUACUUUGUGAUAAGAUGGUUUCCCUCCAAUAUAUCCUCAUUGUCAGCAAUGUCGGGAAACAGGAAUCAUUUCCCCUUCUACAGGUGAUAAAACUGAAGCAAGAAACAUACAGGCUAACAUCAGCUGAGCUGAGAUUUGAACUCCACUCUUUUUGACCCUGGAGCUGAUGAAUGCUGCUUCUAGAGGUUGAGUAUCCCUUAUCCGAAAUCCUUGGAACCAGGAGAUUUUUGGAUUUGGGAAUAUUUGCAUAUACAUAAUGAGAUAUCUUGGAGAUGGGACCCAAGUCUAAAUACAAAAUUAUUUUGUUGUAUAUACACCUUGUACACAUAGACUGAAGAUAAUUUUAUACAAUAUUUUAAAUAAUUUUGUGCGUGAAACAAAGUUGUGACUAUGUCUUGACUGUAAGACAUCUUGCAUGCAACCCAUCAUAUGAGGUCAGGUGCAGAAUUUUCCAUUUGUGGUGUCAUGUUAGUGCUCAAAAAUUUUCGGAUUUUGGAGCACUUCAGACUUUCGUUUUCCAGACGGGGGAUGCUCAACCUGUCUUAGAACCUGUGGUCUCCCAUCAUGCCUCCCUUCCCCAUUCCCUUGCUCCACUGGGGUCUGAGGUGGGAAAGCAAAAGGAGUUGCAGGUAACCCUCACUUUUCACACCAGGCAAUCUCUCCCCACAAUCUGUCACAUUCCUGAAGAACAAGGAAGCAGAGCACUCCACUGAAGAAAUUCUGUUAAAAUCUAUCCCCAACGUAUAAGCAUCCAUCUUUGUCCCAGUCUGGGUCUAACAUGAACAAAGUGCUUAAACAAUUCAGUAGAGGAGAAAGGGAACUUGGAGCAGCUCUGUCACCCUGAAGUGACACUGCCAUGCUGCAUUUCCUGUCUGUAAUAUCUCUUCAGAGCAAUUGUUUUCUUCUGUGAGGACACUUCAGAGAUUCACAGAGACAGAUGCUCUUGUGACUGACCAUAGCAAGUAUCAAAAGGCCUGGGUGGAAUUACGAAGCAUUUCUCGUGCACUGCGUAUUGGGAAGUGCUUCACAGCUGUGUGGCAGAUGUGAGUGGACAGAGGGGCAAGGGAACUGCCCCAAAGGAGGUGGCAGAGGAAGCAACAAGCCAGGGAUUGGCUGGCCGGUCCCAGCACAGCAACUGCAGCAGCAGCUUGCUAAGUUUCACAGGUGAAGCCAAAGGCUGGGGGGAAUGGAAAACAAAUAUCACUCCAUUAAAUUAAGGUCUGAGGAAAACAUGAUGAGGAAAGUCAAUAGUGAAUCAAAACAUUGAAAAGCCACUAACUUUGACUUUCCAUGUGCGUGUGCAAGUUCACGUGUGCAUGUGUGUCUGCAUGUCCAAGUUCUACACUGAUUCAAGAAAUAAUUAUAGAGGGCCUGCCAUAGGAUGGUGAGCAAAACAGUCUUGGCCUCUGUCCUGAUGGAGCAUGCAGUAUCACAGACUCUAUAUGUUCUAUUUCUAGGCCUUGUAUUUUGAGGAUAUAUGCCAGUGGAAUGAGAAUGGCUCUGUGACCUUGUUUAAGUCCCACCACUGUCUCAGGCAGGGUUUUCCAAAGUGUAGUCCUUAUACUAUUAUGUGGUGAAGAUGCUUAAUUGUUUUGUAAUUAUUUAAUGUGCGUAGGUAUCACAUCAAACCCAGUAUUUUCAAGGAUUUUUAUAGCUUAAGACAAGGCUUGUUAUAGGCAAGGUGGAUCAAUUCAAAAAAUAUAUGCUAACAAAAUAAUAGUGGAGGUGGUACAAAGAAACAGCAAAGGUAGUGAGAUGGCUUCACUGGUGUUUGUGAAUCACCAAGAUAAUGCACGUGGAAAUAAAAAUCAGUGUGGUCCAUAGAAAUACAAGGGGUUCUAAUUACCCCUCAGUGAGCACUUGCUCUCUCACUCACCCCAGCAAUGACAUAUUAAGCAAAGCACUGCCCUGACUGCAUAUGCUCUUGCCGACAACUUGGCCAGCAUUCAGAAGACACUAAGUGUGCUCUGGGAACUUCAGAAGGCACUAACAUUCCAUGGAGAACUUCACAAAGAGUGAGACCUAGUCCCUGGCCUAAAGAGAGUAUAAUUUAGUAGGAAAGAGAAGACAAACACACAAAUAACUGUAAAAUGGGAUAAGCCCCAAAGUGGAGGUACAAAGUCCCAUAGAAGAGGCUCAAUGAUAAGUCACGCCUGCCGGGUAAGGUCAAGAAAGACUUCAUGGAGAUUUGAGAUGGCAUCUGAGAUAAGCCAGGAAAGACGGUAGAAUUUCAACAACCAAAAAAGUGGGGAGAGGGAUGGGAGGCAUUCCAGAGAAGGAGAAAUGCUUGAGCAAUGGUACAGAGACCAGGAAGUUAUAUGAGGGCAGAAAGUCCCUGCUGUCUAUUUAGCUGGGAUAUAGAAUGCAAGUCAGUUAGAUGAUUAGGUGGGGUUAUAACAUAACUAGCCUUAAAUAGUGGACUGAGAAUUUUCCACUUAAUUUAAUGCAAAUGGCAGGGGAGGGGGCAGGCAAUGGAGAGCUGAAAACAGGACUGGAGAUGCGCUGGAGGGAAGUAACCCUGGAAAUGGGUGAAGUACGGGUUACUGUCACCCCAGCUCUGGUUCUUGUUAUUCCCUAGGAGAAGCAUAAUAGAAGUGUGAAUUUAGGGUAGCCAAAUGAUGACUUUGCAGAGGGAAUCUUUAGGACUUGUGACUUGAUUAAAAGCAGGGAGAUGGAUAGGGAACGUCCAAGGAUAACUAGAUAACUAGAGCUCUCCUGUUCCUCUGACUCAUGUGUGCUGAAACUGUAGAGUCAAACAAACACUUGUAAGUGGCGUGAUGUAAAUCCCUUAGGGGCCCAUGCCUGCCUCAAGAGAAGAACGUGUGGUCAGGAAAAACGACCGGGGGAAGUGAAAACGACACAAGACCCAGAGGAUAACCCUUAUUUUAUUCACACAUGCAAAUUUAGGCACAGCAAAAAGCAAAACGAAGUAUACCAAAUGUCAAGGGUUAAUUAUUAAUCAUUUCUAUAUUAAAUUAUGAGUUUUUCAGUAAGACACUUUUUGAUAAGAAACUUGAAUUACGUUCAUAACCAUCAAAAUAAAGAAAAUAAAAGAGACAGAUUUUCUUUGGUGGUGGGAGAACAUUAAGUAUUGUGGAAGCCUGAAAAAUGGUCCCCAAAAGAAUCUGGUCCUAAUCCUUAGAACUUGUGAGUAUUAUCUUACUUGGAAAAAGGGUUGUUUUAAGAUAAGGAUCUUGAGUUGGGAAGAUUGUCCUGAGUUAUUCAGGUAGGCUGUAAAUGCCAUCACAGGCAACCUUUUUACAUGGAUAUUUGACACAGAGUGGAGGAGACACCCAUAGGAGAAGGCUAUGUGAAGACAUAGCAUCGAGACACUUGAAGAUAUUGGCCUUCAAAUGGCACAGCCACAAGCAAAGGAAUGCCAGCAGCCACCAGGAAAAAGCAAAGAAUGGAUUCUCACCUAAAGUCUCCAGAGGGACUGUAGAGUAUCCUGCCAACACCUUGAUUUUGACUCUGUGAAACUGAUGUCAGGCUUCUGGCCUCCAGAACUGUGAGAGAAGAAAUUUCUGUUGUUUUAAACCUUCGAAUUUGUGGUAAUGUGUUAGAGCAGCCACAGGAAACUCAUAUUCUAAACUAGCAACUAUGAAAUGAGAAUUUCUAGUGUUCAGCUAAGAUACCACCGCAGAAGCAGCUGGAUAAUAUCAGAUGAGCCGAAAACUUCUCUUACCCCAUUUCCUUAUCCAUAAAAUUAGCAAAUAAUACCUGUCUUGCAGAGUUAAUUUUAAAGUUAUACAAGUAAAUACACUUUGAAAGUGACAAGUACUAGAAAAAUGUAGGGAAUUAUCCUACAAGUCUGGGUAUCCCCACCACCCAAGGCACAUGAAUGAUGCACAAUAAAAUAUACAAUUGGUUAGAAAUAGAACAAAGUGUUGAAAGUGCUUCAAAGCUCGAAAUGUAGGGCAUGAGGAAUGAAGGAAAUUCAGUUCAGGAAUAAAAUAUUUAUUCAGCAUCACUAAUAAGCCAGGCACUCUGCCAGAACCCAAAGGUAUAAAGAGGAACAAAUGAUAAUUCCUGCCCUGUGGAUGGCUUAUAGUCUAGGGUAGCAUUUUUACAGUGUGUUCACAGACCACUAAGCUCUCAAAUUUCUAUUUAAAGAUGCCAAAGGACCCAAGAUCAAGUGCUAUAUUCUAAUAUCUACCCUCUCCAUUUCCUACCCCCUCCCACAACCACACUUUCUGUAGACUCACAAUGUGUUAGUUAAUUUAAGGCAUUGAGUCCUGUUGUUAAUAAGCUGACUUGCCCUUAAUUAUCACAGGCUUUUCCAAAUUUCCUUGACAUGCACUAACCAUUUAACCUUGGGGAAAAGAAUGGAAUAACAUUCUUGCCUGCCUGUUGUAGCUGUCAUCAUAUUUAAAUGUAAUAAAACAUGGAAAGUGUUUAAUAAUUAUGGUGCUCUAGGCAAAAUAGCAGUCCUUCAAAAAUGCCCAUGCCCUAAUCUCCAGAACCUGUGAAUAUGUUACCUGACAUUGUAAAGCAACCUUGUAGGUGUGAUUAAAGUUACAAGCUCUGAGAAGAGAAAAUUACUCUGGAUUAUCUGGGUGGGCCCAGCUUAAUCAUAUGAACCCUUAAAAGUGGAGAAUGUUUUCCAGCUAAGGUCAGAGAAAGAGACUUGACAAAGGAAGAAGGGUCAUAGGGAUGUGAUACCGCUAGCUUUAGAGAUGAAGGAAGAGGACCACAGCCAAGAAAUGUGGGUAGCCUCUGAACACAAUACAAGGCAAGGACACGGGCUCUCUCCUUGAGCCUCUAGAAGGAGCACAGCCAUAAGGCAUUCUUAAACUAUGUCGCUUACCUUACCUACCUCAUCCACUUACUACUUGUAUGGCUAAUGGCAUGAGGAAGUCACUAAAACUCUCCGAGCCUUCCUGGCCUCCACUUAAAUGGGAGUGGUACCCACAGAGGGUCAGGAGGCUCAAUCAAAUCUCAAAUUCAUUAUCUCUUGCUUCUCAUGCACAAGUCAGUGUCAGCAGGAGGCAUCAGUGCUUCUGCAAAAAUAACUAAUUCAACAUUACUUUGUCAGAUCACAACCCUUCUUUGCUAAAACCUUCCAGAGGCUCCCUGUCUCACUCACAGAACAACCUCAUGGACUUCCUCUGUUCUCAGGAUUCUCAUGACACAAUAUGACCCCAUUUCCUCUGACUAUAGGUCCUUCCUCUCUCCCCCUUCCUGAUGGUGCUCCAGCCAUACUGGCCACCUUGCUGUUCCUGAGGCACACCAGGCAGCUUCCAGCCUCAGGACAUUUGCACUUGCUGUUUUCUCUGCUUAGAGCCCUCUUCCCCCAUAUCCACAUAGCUUGCUCCCUCAACUCCUUUAGAUCUUCAUUCGGCUAUUACCUUCUUCCUGAGGCCUUCCCUAACAACCCUAUGAAAAUUGCAAUACCUGCCAGCCAAACAUUCCCCAUCCUCCCUUCACUUUAAUUUCCGCCAUAGUAAUUUCAUCUUCUCACAUGCUGCAUAUUUAACUGUUUUGUUUACUUUCUUUCCUCCAUUGGAAUAUAAGCUCUAUCAGGGCUUUUCAUGAAGGACAUGCAAGUAGAUGCUUGAUAAAUAUUUGUUGGAUAAAUAAAUCAGUGCAUAUACCAAUCUGAAGUCACAAAAUCAAUAUGAGCAUCACCUUCCACUAAAGACAUAUCCUUUCAGUUAUCGAUGAAAAAUGAAGUUGAAAACACAAUAAUCAGCCUGUCAUUGAACAAUGCAGCUGCAGCUAAGAUCAAGUUCUUGACUGACUUUGCCGAGCCCAACCAAUUCAAAGGAAGAAUAAAAACAUGGUCAAGGGACCCAAGACCCAGCUCUUAUCCCCUACUCAGAGAAAACCCAGAGAGAACCAGCCUUCUGAUGUCUUGUCCUUCCUGGUUUUGACCAACCUCUAAAAACCAUAAGAACAGUUUGUCUCAGUAUUUCAGUACUUCCGCUUCCAGGCCCAGGAAAGAGCAGGAAGUGCAGGGGCGUGUGAAAAUCAAGAAAAAAGAAGAAUUAAACCCGCUACACAUGAAGCGCUCAAAGACUUCCUCUGUAACCUGUUGCAGCACACGAGUUUCAAUGUGCUUUCACUGAGAGCCCAGGGGGACUGUGCUGUCCCCAGAAUUUCGCACCAUGCCCCACACUCUCAAUGAACACUUGUUG
Molecule: long non-coding RNA, 9936 nt
Filed under: Homo sapiens (human)
Lineage: Eukaryota; Metazoa; Chordata; Mammalia; Primates; Hominidae
Description: HSALNT0165968
Source: RNAcentral